UACAGAGGGGGCAAGCGUUGUUCGGAAUUACUGGGCGUAAAGGGCGCGUAGGCGGCCUUCUAAGUCGAACGUGAAAUCCCCAGGCUUAACCUGGGAACUGCAUCUGAUACUGGAUGGCUUGAAUCCGGGAGAGGGAUGCAGAAUUCCAGGUGUAGCGGUGAAAUGCGUAGAUAUCUGGAGGAAUACCGGUGGCGAAGGCGGCAUCCUGGACCGGCAUUGACGCUGAGGAGCGAAAGCUAGGGGAGCAAACGGG
This 253-nucleotide ribosomal RNA is filed under the name uncultured bacterium. RNAcentral's name for it is "partial 16S ribosomal RNA". It matches the Rfam family "Bacterial small subunit ribosomal RNA", at positions 524 to 776 of the family's 1533-position model. The record is from RNAcentral.